AGAGUUUGAUCCUGGCUCAGAAUCAACGCUGGCGGCGUGCCUAACACAUGCAAGUCGAACGAGAAAGUGGAGCAAUCCAUGAGUAAAGUGGCGACCGGGUGAGUAACACGUGACUAACCUACCUUCGAGUGGGGGGAUAACCUCGGGAAACCGGGGCUAAUACCGCAUAACAUCUUUGGAGUGGAAAUUCUGGAGAUCAAAGGAGCAAUUCGCUGGAAGAGGGGGUCGCGGCCGAUUAGUUAGUUGGCGGGGUAAUGGCCCACCAAGACUGUGAUCGGUAUCCGGCCUGAGAGGGCGCACGGACACACUGGAACUGAAACACGGUCCAGACUCCUACGGGAGGCAGCAGUGGGGAAUUUUGCGCAAUGGGGGAAACCCUGACGCAGCAACGCCGCGUGGAGGAUGAAGUCCUUCGGGACGUAAACUCCUUUCGAUCGGGACGAUUAUGACGGUACCGGAAGAAGAAGCCCCGGCUAACUUCGUGCCAGCAGCCGCGGUAAUACGAGGGGGGCGAGCGUUGUUCGGAAUUAUUGGGCGUAAAGGGUGCGUAGGCGGUUUGGUAAGUCUGAUGUGAAAUCUAUGGGCUCAACUCAUAGUCUGCAUCGGAAACUGCCGGGCUUGAGUGUGGGAGAGGUGAGUGGAAUUUCCGGUGUAGCGGUGAAAUGCGUAGAUAUCGGAAGGAACACCUGUGGCGAAAGCGGCUCACUGGACCACAACUGACGCUGAUGCACGAAAGCUAGGGGAGCAAACAGGAUUAGAUACCCUAGUAGUCC
This 773-nucleotide ribosomal RNA is filed under the name uncultured bacterium. Its description in RNAcentral is "bacterial SSU rRNA". It matches the Rfam family "Bacterial small subunit ribosomal RNA", at positions 8 to 796 of the family's 1533-position model. The record is from RNAcentral.